Molecule: ribosomal RNA, 451 nt
Filed under: uncultured bacterium
Lineage: Bacteria
Description: partial 16S ribosomal RNA
Rfam family: Bacterial small subunit ribosomal RNA
Source: RNAcentral
AGCGAACGCUGGCGGCAGGCUUAACACAUGCAAGUCGAGCGGCCGUAGCAAUACGGCAGCGGCAGACGGGAGAGUAACACGUGGGAACGUACCCUUUAGUACGGAACAACCAAGGGAAACUUUGGCUAAUACCGUAUACGUCCGUAAGGAGAAAGAUUUAUCGCUGAAGGAUCGGCCCGCGUCUGAUUAGCUAGUUGGUGAGGUAACGGCUCACCAAGGCGACGAUCAGUAGCUGGUCUGAGAGGAUGAUCAGCCUCACUGGGACUGAGACACGGCCCAGACUCCUACGGGAGGCAGCAGUGGGGAAUAUUGGACAAUGGGCGCAAGCCUGAUCCAGCCAUGCCGCGUGGAUGAUGAAGGCCCUAGGGUUGUAAAGUCCUUUUAACGGGGAAGAUAAUGACGGUACCCGUAGAAUAAGCCCCGGCUAACUUCGUGCCAGCCGCCGCCGUAA